GAGACACUAGUAAAAAUUCAUUACGCCGCCUUGUCAGGGCUGAUUUGCGGGUGCGAGUCCCGCGUGUUUCAAA
This 73-nucleotide transfer RNA is filed under the name Sillago indica (Indian whiting). RNAcentral's name for it is "tRNA-Asp". It matches the Rfam family "tRNA". From Rfam's summary of the family: Transfer RNA (tRNA) molecules are approximately 80 nucleotides in length. Their secondary structure includes four short double-helical elements and three loops (D, anti-codon, and T loops). Lineage: Eukaryota; Metazoa; Chordata; Actinopteri; Sillaginidae. The record is from RNAcentral.